CCCUUAGAUGUCCGGGGCCGCACGCGCGCUACACUGAAGGAAUCAGCGUGGCUUUCUCCCUGACCCGAAAGGGUUGGGAAACCCGUUGAAUCUCCUUCGUGAUAGGGAUUGGGGCUUGAAAUUGUUCCCCAUGAACGAGGAAUUCCCAGUAAGCGCGAGUCAUAAGCUCGCGUUGAUUACGUCCCUGCCCUUUGUACACACGCCCGUCGCUACUACCGAUUGAACGGUUUAGUGAGGGCCUCGGAUUGGUCUCGGCCCGCUCUUUACCGGGCGGCGCCGUUGGUCGAGAAGACGCUCGAACUUGAUCGUUUAGAGGAAGUAAAAGUCGUAACA
This 333-nucleotide ribosomal RNA is filed under the name uncultured eukaryote. RNAcentral describes it as "partial 18S ribosomal RNA". It matches the Rfam family "Eukaryotic small subunit ribosomal RNA", at positions 1470 to 1797 of the family's 1831-position model. The record is from RNAcentral.